AACAAUGGUUUACGAUUGAUUGAACAAUAGUUUACUGUUUAUUGAUUGAACAAUGGUUUACUGUUGAUUGAUUGAACAAUGGUUUACUGUUGAUUGAUUGAACAAUGGUUUACUGUUGAUUGAACAAUGGUUUACUGUUGAUUGAACAAUGGUUUACUGUUGAUUGAACAAUGGUUUACUGUUGAUUGAACAAUGGUUUACUGUUGAUUGAACAAUGGUUUACUGUUGAUUGAACAAUGGUUUACUGUUGAUUGAACAAUGGUUUACUGUUGAUUGAACAAUGGUUUACUGUUGAUGGAACAAUGGUUUACUGUUGAUUGAACAAUGGUUUACUGUUGAUGGAACAAUGGUUUACUGUUGAUUGAUUGAACAAUGGUUUACGAUUGAUUGAACAAUAGUUUACUGUUUAUUGAUUGAACAAUGGUUUACUGUUGAUUGAUUGAACAAUGGUUUACUGUUGAUUGAUUGAACAAUGGUUUACUGUUGAUUGAUUGAACAAUGGUUUACUGUUGAUGGGACUGCAACACCACAGUGCAGCAGCUUUGGGAGAAUAUGCACGUCCCACAUGUUACCCUUUUGCCUAUAUAGUGCACUACUUUAGACCAGACCCUAACACCCUAUUCCCUAUAUAGUGCACUACUUUAGACCAGAGCCCUAACACCCUAUUCCCUAUACAGUGCACUACUUUAGACCAGGGCCCUAUAGAACCCUAUUCCCUAUACAGUGCACUACUUUAGACCAGGCCCCUAUAGAACCCUAUUCCCUAUACAGUGCACUACUUUUGUGCCAUUUGGGAUACAGGCCAUAUCAUGUGCUGGCUGUCGGGUGAGUUGGUUUGUGUUGGAGGCUGUUGAGGCUAAAGGUUGUGGAGGCUGUUGAGGCUGGGGGCCAGCCUGGACCUGAUUGUGUGUGUUGUAUAUCCUGUAGUCUGUUCAUUGUCUUACGUCAGAGAGCACACCGAUUCCACCUGCAACCAUCGGAUGAGGGACGAGCCUCGCGUAGAAGUGACGCCACCUGACGUAAGACAAUGGUACAACUCUGACGCAGCUGACCAUAGGUCAGGGCCCGGUUAGUUACGGUGAGGCAGAGCAGACCAUAGGUCAGAGCCCGGUUAGUUACAGUAACUCAGAGCAGACCAUAGGUCAGGACCCGGUUAGUUAUGGUAAGGCAGAGCAGACCAUAGGUCAGGAUCCGGUUAGUUACGGUAACUCAGAGCAGACCAUAGGUCAGGAUCCGGUUAGUUACGGUAACUCAGAGCAGACCAUAGGUCAGGACCCGGUUAGUUACGGUAACUCAGAGCAGACCAUAGGUCAGGAACCGGUUAGUUACGGUAACUCAGAGCAGACCAUAGGUCAGAGCCCGGUUAGUUACAGUAACUCAGAGCAGACCAUAGGUCAGAGCCCGGUUAGUUACGGUAACUCAGAGCAGACCAUAGGUCAGUACCCGGUUAGUUACGGUAACUCAGAGCAGACCAUAGGUCAGGACCCGGUUACUUACGGUAACUCAGAGAUGGCUCUCCAUUCACACUGUAUAGAGAUCUAGCAUGUCUGUCCUAAACAAUCAAUAAAGAUGUCUUACUAUCAAAACCA
Molecule: long non-coding RNA, 1589 nt
Organism: Oncorhynchus tshawytscha (Chinook salmon)
Lineage: Eukaryota; Metazoa; Chordata; Actinopteri; Salmoniformes; Salmonidae
Source: Ensembl